GGUUCGAUUAUGAAACCAGAUUGAACGCUGGCGGGAUGCUUUACACAUGCAAGUCGAACAGCACGGACUUCAGUCUGGUGGCGAGUGGCGAACGGGUGAGUAAUGUAUCGGAACGUGCCUGGUAGCGGGGGAUAACUACGCGAAAGCGUAGCUAAUACCGCAUACGCCCUUCGAGAAAGCGGGGGACCUUCGGGCCUCGCACUGUGAAGCGGCCGAUAUCGGAUUAGCUGGUUGGUGGGGUAACGGCUCACCAGGCGACGAUCCGUGGCUGGUUUGAGAGGACGACCAGCCACACUGGGACUGAGACACGGCCCAGACUCUACGGGGAGGCAGCAGUGAGGUACCCCUGGACAAUGGGGAAACCUGAUCAACCAUCCCGUGUGCGGCAAGGCCUUCGGGUUGUAAAGCACUUUUGGCAGGAAAGAAGCAUGCAGGAUAAUACCCCGUGCAACUGACGGUCACCUGCAGAAUAAGCGCAAGCUAACCUACGUGCCAGCAGCCGCGGUAAUACGUAGGGUGCAAGCCGUUAAUCAGAAUUACUGGGCGUAAAGCGUGCGCGAGCGGUUCGGGAAAGAAAGAUGUAGAAAUCGACUUAACUUUGGAACCUGUUUUUAACUACCGAGCUAGAAGAGUGUCAGAGGAGGUGGAAUUCCGCGUGCCUGGCAGUGAAAUGCGUAGAUAUGCGGAGGAACACCGAUGGCGAGCGGCCUCGCAGGAUAACACUGACGCUCAUGCGAAAGCGUGGGAGCAAACGGGAUUAGAUACCCUGGUGAUCCACGCCCUGGCGAUGUCAACUAGCUGUUCAGGGCCUUCAGGCCUUGGUAGCGCAGCUAACGCGUGAAGUUGACCGCCUGGGGAGUACGGUCGCAAGGUCAAACUCAAAGGAAUUGACGGGACCCACACAAGCGGUGGAUGAUAUGGAUUGAAUUCGAUGCAACGCGAAAAACCUUACCUACCCUUGACGUAUCUAGGUCCCGAAGGGUCAGGAGUGCUCGCGAAGGGAACCGGAACACAGGUGCUGCAUGGCUGUCGUCAGCUCGUGUCGUGAGAUGUUAGGGUUAAGUCCCGCGAGCGCAGCCCAUGUCAUUGGAUUUUGCUACGAAAGGGCACUCUAAUGAGACUGCCGACAAACCGGAGGAAGGUGGGGAUGACGUCAAGUCCUCAUGGCCCUUGUAGGUGGGGCUUCACACGUCAUACAAUGGUCGGGACAGAGGGUCGCCAACCGCGAAGGGGCAAUCCCAGAAACCCGAUCGUAGUCGGAUCGCAGUCUGCAACUCGACUGCGUGAAGUCGGAAUACGCUGGUAAUCGCGGAUCAGCAUGUCGCGGUGAAUACGUUCCCGGGUCUUGUACACACCGCCCGUCACCUGUAUGAGUGGGUUUUGCAGAAGUAGUUAGCCUAACCGUAAGGAGGGCGAUUACCACGGUAGGAUUCAUGACUGGGGUGAAGUCGUAACAAGGUAA
RNAcentral lists this ribosomal RNA (1462 nucleotides) under uncultured Bordetella sp. RNAcentral describes it as "partial 16S-23S ribosomal RNA intergenic spacer". It matches the Rfam family "Bacterial small subunit ribosomal RNA". The record is from RNAcentral. Lineage: Bacteria; Pseudomonadati; Pseudomonadota; Betaproteobacteria; Burkholderiales; Alcaligenaceae.